Molecule: long non-coding RNA, 806 nt
Organism: Nerophis ophidion (straightnose pipefish)
Lineage: Eukaryota; Metazoa; Chordata; Actinopteri; Syngnathiformes; Syngnathidae
Exons: 5
Source: RefSeq, a predicted model, not a curated record
UGCAAUGUGGAAAAUGUACGUCCUGUUUGAGUGACGUACACCGGAAAUAGGCGUCCAUUGCGUUUUUGCCCCAAAGAGAUUCUCCAUUAAUCUCUCCAAGCAACGUUUUUUCACGAAUUUCAUUCCAUGACGACAACUUCUGUUGUGUUUGGUCACUGCUGCGUUACAGACACCGUUUGGAAAUAAUUCAGAUUCACGGAUUCCUCAGUAAAUUCGCCAAAACGUCACCGUGGAGUUGUUGAGUCUGUUUUGCUGAUUGGAGCUGGUGGGUCCAUGGCGAUGACUUCUGUUUUGUUUGAUCAGCCGUUUUACUGCCGUGUUACAGACACCGUUUGGAAACAAUUCAGGGCCAUUAAACGGGGACAGUGGUGCAUCGGUCCAUCAUGCCGGGAGGAUCUCGUGAACAUUGGAUGGAAACUGACAAAUACAAACUUUGGAUAAAACGUGGACCAAAUCCACGUGUAGCCUGCUACAACGUAUGCAAUGGGAGAGUCGGCUCUCUCGAGUAUGAAAGGUGGCCCUUGGCAAAGGCCUAGUACCUGACUGACCCCUAGCCAGGGAUACGGCGAAGACCUCAACAGCAGAGCAGAUGGAAGAACUACCACAAUGGCUGCGAUGGCGAAAGAAGGCUGCAGCAGAAAAGGGUCUUCAGUCGUCUUGGACUCCAUGCCUUUGGACCCUGACCCGAUUCUGUCAAAGAUCGUGUCAAGCAGAGUCAAAGUCAUGCACUGGCAUCCUCCAUAAAGGGAUACCCCUACCAGGAGGAUCGUCAUACUCGUUUGAGUGACCGCCACUGAUGAUGAUGA